Molecule: ribosomal RNA, 466 nt
Filed under: uncultured bacterium
Lineage: Bacteria
Description: partial 16S ribosomal RNA
Rfam family: Bacterial small subunit ribosomal RNA
Source: RNAcentral
GAUGAACGCUGGCGGCGUGCUUAACACAUGCAAGUCGAACGGAAAGGCCCAAGCUUGCUUGGGUACUCGAGUGGCGAACGGGUGAGUAACACGUGGGUGAUCUGCCCUGCACUUCGGGAUAAGCCUGGGAAACUGGGUCUAAUACCGGAUAGGACCACAUUUUGGAUGGUGUGGUGGAAAGUUUUUCGGUGUGGGAUGAGCUCGCGGCCUAUCAGCUUGUUGGUGGGGUAAUGGCCUACCAAGGCGUCGACGGGUAGCCGGCCUGAGAGGGUGUACGGCCACAAUGGGACUGAGAUACGGCCCAGACUCCUACGGGAGGCAGCAGUGGGGAAUAUUGCACAAUGGGCGCAAGCCUGAUGCAGCGACGCCGCGUGGGGGAUGACGGCCUUCGGGUUGUAAACUCCUUUCGCUAGGGACGAAGCGUUAUGUGACGGUACCUGGAGAAGAAGCACCGGCUAACUACGUG